RNAcentral lists this long non-coding RNA (1385 nucleotides) under Mus spretus (western wild mouse). RNAcentral describes it as "lncRNA (ENSMSPG00010042177.1)". Lineage: Eukaryota; Metazoa; Chordata; Mammalia; Rodentia; Muridae. The record is from RNAcentral.
GUCCCCCACUGGUCUUCUGAGCAGACUUGACGCAGUUUCAUCUCAUUCCUGAGGUAUCCUGAGCCCUUCAGUGCCAUACUUCUGCGUGAGUGCUGUGAACUGGAGCAAAUGGGUUGAAAAUGGCCAGAAGUUGCUCUUGGUCUCUUUAGAUCUUUUAUGACAAAGAAAAAAAUUGAAUUUCUGACCAGUUAAAAUCCAUUUGAGCCAGUUUAAGCUAAUUAUGCAGAACUGGAGCCUGAGGUCGGUAAAUCCAGGAAGAUGGCUGAAUACUAUGCUGACUCAAGUACAGACAAGGAGCCAGAUGAGAAAACCAACGCUCCAAGAGCUUCUGUGACUUGUCCAAGACCAUGCAGUUAGUGCACAGUGAGGCACAGAAUCAGUUGUAGAAGCACUUCAGGGAAUUCGGAUACUAUUUUGUGGCCUGGCAAGAUUAGCAGCCUUACUAUCUUAGUCCCUGCCAGUCAUCAGCUUCUGGUUUCCCUGUUAUCCUGCUGCUCCCUAGAAUGCAGCUAUUAAGUGGCCUAAGAGCCAGCACCUUCACGGAGUAGCAAAGAGGAAAGUCCAUUUGAGGACAGAGUGAGAAGACGAUGGUUAUCCACAAGCCAGAAAAAGAAGCCUCACCAGAAAUCCUGAUACCCUGAGUUUGGGUUUUCAAGCCCCUACAACUUCGAGACAAUGAAUAUCUUCUUUACAGUCUAUAAUAUCUUGUUUGGUAGACCAAGGAGACUAAUCUAUUACUUAAUAUUGGGAACAUUACUUAGAAGCUAAUGAUCUUCGAAAAUGGUAAAGUUAUUUAUGUUUGCUAUUUUCAUUCUUCCUUUCCUCUGUUGAGCCAUUUAAAACAAUGAUACUGGCACUCAUUUCUCUUUACCUUUCAGUAUUUGAUUUCUAACAGAUGGCUAAGGUCUGACAAACACUGUUUUGAUAAUACACUACAGAGCGUUAGAGACAGACCCAGAUUUCCAUCCAAAGAGAGUAUUCUAAGCUUGGGUGGUGGCAAUGGAGCACUCUGACCUGUGAAGCACCAUUCUUUGAAGGCUUCUUUUGUGAUCCUCACAGUUUGGAACUGAGUUACAGACUAGAUCAUAUCUCCUCAUUCUCUCCAUUUGAUCUUUCUUCCCUCAUUAAUUCCAAAGUAUGCAAGCUAUAUGCUUUCUAGUGUUUUUCCCCCUUCACAGCCAUUGUCUAGGCACCAAAAAUAGAGAUGGAAAGAGACAGGUUUAAUCCAAAGCACCAGUUUCCAUUACCUUAAGCUUCCUCAAUGAUUUUUCUGAUGAGAUGAAAUUUCUUAUACUUGGUCUCAGGCCCAAGGUAUAUGCAAUACGUCAAUGAAAUUGAUUGCGACACAUUGAAGUGAGUGCCUGGGAACUAUGAGUUCCUUAACU